Molecule: ribosomal RNA, 324 nt
Filed under: Triticum aestivum (bread wheat)
Lineage: Eukaryota; Viridiplantae; Streptophyta; Magnoliopsida; Poales; Poaceae
Description: partial small subunit ribosomal RNA
Source: RNAcentral
AUGGUAGAAACCUUAGCUCUUAAAUUUGGCCUAAAUUUAGCGCAAAGGGCGGGAUAUAAUCGCCUAAUCAUCAACUCUAACAAUCUUGAGGUGAUUGAGACCAUGCGGGACGGAGGACAUUCAGCGGGAGCGACGGCGGCAAUCUUCGAUGACUGCUAUCACUAUGCUUGUGAUUUUAUCAUGACUAAAUUCGAACAUUGUAAUAGAGAGGCAAAUAAAGUAGCACAUGAACUUGCUAGAUUAGCUAGAUUUUUUUUGACUUCGGAUUGGUUUGAGGAGCCUAUUAGUGAAAUUGUAACGCUUCUCACUAUUGGUUAUUGCUAA